GAUGAACGCUGGCGGCGUGCCUAAUACAUGCAAGUCGAGCGAACGGACGAGAAGCUUGCUGCUCUGAUGUUAGCGGCGGACGGGUGAGUAACACGUGGAUAACCUACCUAUAAGACUGGGAUAACUUCGGGAAACCGGAGCUAAUACCGGAUAAUAUUUUGCACCGCAUGGUUCAAAAGUGAAAGACGGUCUUGCUGUCACUUCUCGAUGGAUCCGCGCUGCAUUAGCUAGUUGGUAAGGUAACGGCUUACCAAGGCAACGAUGCAUAGCCGACCUGAGAGGGUGAUCGGCCACACUGGAACUGAGACACGGUCCAGGCUCCUACGGGAGGCAGCAGUAGGGAAUCUUCCGCAAUGGGCGAAAGCCUGACGGAGCAACGCCGCGUGAGUGAUGAAGGUCUUCGGAUCGUAAAACUCUGUUAUUAGGGAAGAACAGAUGUGUAAGUAACUGUGCACAUAUUGACGGUACCUAAUCAGAAAGCCACGGCUAACUACGUG
Molecule: ribosomal RNA, 497 nt
Filed under: uncultured bacterium
Lineage: Bacteria
Description: partial 16S ribosomal RNA
Rfam family: Bacterial small subunit ribosomal RNA
Source: RNAcentral